RNAcentral lists this transfer RNA (75 nucleotides) under Candidatus Aenigmatarchaeota archaeon. RNAcentral's name for it is "tRNA-Pro". It matches the Rfam family "tRNA". Rfam says of the family: Transfer RNA (tRNA) molecules are approximately 80 nucleotides in length. Their secondary structure includes four short double-helical elements and three loops (D, anti-codon, and T loops). Lineage: Archaea; Nanobdellati; Candidatus Aenigmatarchaeota. The record is from RNAcentral.
GGGGUCGUAGUCGAACUUGGUUAAGACGCCAGCCUCGGGCGCUGGAAAUUCUGGGUUCAAAUCCCAGCGAUCCCA